Molecule: small RNA, 118 nt
Filed under: Ectopseudomonas mendocina
Lineage: Bacteria; Pseudomonadati; Pseudomonadota; Gammaproteobacteria; Pseudomonadales; Pseudomonadaceae
Also listed under: 1 other name
Description: Pseudomonas mendocina Guanidine-I sequence
Rfam family: Guanidine-I riboswitch aptamer
About the family: This family represents a conserved RNA structure found upstream of the ykkC and yxkD genes in Bacillus subtilis and related genes in other bacteria.
Source: RNAcentral
GAAAUGGCCGACUAGGGUUCCGGCCCACCCGCACGGGUGGGUGACUGGUCCGAGAGUGGGCGACCUCGGAGCGGCGGGAAGCCGCGGGGUUACACGGCGGGAUAAAAGCCCGGGAGAA